Thalassophryne amazonica is the source of this 2282-nucleotide RNA transcript. It is a transcript of the gene named zinc finger protein 576-like, with no coding region annotated. The record is from RefSeq and is a predicted model, not a curated record. The transcript has 7 exons. NCBI's taxonomy places the organism in Eukaryota, Metazoa, Chordata, Actinopteri, Batrachoidiformes, Batrachoididae.
AACAUAGCCCACAGGUUUGAAGAAUUCACAGCCUGGUGAAGUAGGGACUUUGAAGGUUGGAGCAGAGAUAGAGGAGAGAGGAGGAGAUGCAACCGCCCUCGCUGGAGUCCCAAGCAGUGAAUGCCUUUAAACUGGGUAUUUCUACCUUCAGUCAUGUCCAUCGAGUACACCAUUGAUAUCCAACUGACAGAGUUGGCAUUUUCUGAGAUCUUGGAUUCAGAAGAAGCAGCUUUGAGUACGACUGUCAAAGGUGCUGGGCAUUGUGCAUCAUCAAAACCCACAGCAGAAAGUCCAGCACCUACUGAACAGAAGCUGAAAGAGGAGGAGGACUACAAGGAAGAGGAAGAGCUAAAAGAUGAGUUGAGUCAGACAGAAGACUACCGCUGCAGAGUCUGCGAGCUUCAGUUGUCCUCCAUCUUCAAACUGAAAGAGCACAUGAACCAACACACAGGGGUACGUCCAUACCAUUGUGCUGAAUGUCGAAAGCGCUUCUUCAAGGUUUCCAGCUUCUGUGCCCACCUGCGUAAACAUCACACAGGGGCUCGUCUAUACCGUUGUGUUGAAUGUCGAAAUCACUUCUGCAAGGUUUUCAGCUACCGCGCCCACCUGCGUAAACAUGUUCAGGCUAAAGAGCUUUUCCGUUGCCGUAUUUGUCUGAUAGGCUUUCAGUCAUUUAAAGACUUGAACACCCACCUGGCCAUGAAUCACUUAAAGAAGGAGUUUUAUGAGUGUGACUUGUGCAAAUGUCUAUUUGCUUCUUUGAAGACAUAUCAAUCCCACAAGCAGUUACACAAAACCAAAGUAGGUUUUACAUGCACAACGUGUGGCCGCUAUUAUUCUACUUCACAGUCCUUCGCAUACCAUCAGAAGAAGGUAUGCUAUCGCGUUUUAAGAUACACUGAUUGUACAAAGACCUUUACUCAGAACAUCGCUCUCCUGAAACACCGUUUCUCCCAUCUGGGUUUGUUGCCUUACACCUGUGUACAAUGCGGCCGCCACUUUCGCUUUGCAAAGCUGUCCUACCAACACAAAUGCCAACCUCAGCGCAUUAACUGCGUUGCAUGAGAGAAUUUCUCAACGAGGUGGACUUUCAGCAGCACAAAAAGGACACAGGCUGCUGGGGCCAUCUGGAGGCAAAGCCAGAUGCGAUCUGCUGUCUGGAGUGUGGCCAGUCAUUUGAUACUAAAGAAGAGCUGAAGAAACACAGUGGCGCUCACCAGAGAGUGCUGAAAUGUGUCGAAUGUGGAAAGGGCUUCUGGUCAGCCUUGCUGUGAAUGUCCCACAUGGGUGGUCACGCCAGCAAAUCUCCCUGCCUCUGUCAGACAGGUUUUCCUCAUCGGCAGGGCUAUGACAGUCACCUGAAGACCUGCGGAAAAACACCCCUACCUACGCUUGCUACCUGCCUGUACCUCCACCAUGUUGAUUGAUUCCCUGUGUACCGAACCUGUUGCCUGCCUAUUGGAUAAAGCCAUUUUUCUUGAUCUACACCUGUGUCUGUGAGUCUGCAUAUGCCUCCUACAACCUUCAGGGCCAAGCCACCACAAGCCAUGACAGAACAAUCUGGCCAGUACCUGGAGGCAGUGGACUCAGAUCCUGAGCUGAACUUGAUGACAAUUAAAGAGAUCUUCGCUGACAUAAGAUUUUUUUUUUCACCUGUUUCCGCCACACCUACACCCCAUGGGAAAAGUUUGACUACCUGGAGCAAGCUUGGGAAGUCACUGAAGCAAAUACCUGGCUCUACAGCCUCUUCCCUGACUUAGAAGAUCUGGACAGUUUGUUUACUGCAGAGAGGCUCCCAGACUGGGUGAAGCAACCUGAGCUAUAUCCGCAGUCCACUUGCCCGCCAUGCAAUGAUGACACUGAGUGGGUUGACUUAGAUGAGGAUUCCUCAUCUGAGACAGAGGAAUCAUCACCCCAGCAGAUGGCAAAAUUUCUCUUCAAAAUACAGGACUUAUUUUUUGAAUUCAGAGACAGUUCAGGAGAGCGGAACAAGCAGCGCAUUCUUUCUGCUUUAGAACUCCUACAUGCUGCACCCGAAAUGACCAAAAUGAAAAUCUUCAGUGUUUCCAGUGCUUCAUCACGUUCUGCAGUGCCAAAGCUAAAGAAAGACAUAUGAAGAAGAGCCACAGGGAAGAGUACAAACAGCUGCAGCAGGUGUAGGUGUGACCAGCAGCCUGAUUAUAUAAAUUCCCACACAAAGCCUGUUCGACAACUAUCAGCCAAAAACAUCCCGCGGAGCACAACGACGCCCUGAGGAGUGUACAAAUGUAGCGCUUCAUCAG